CCCUGGCAGUCAGAGGCGAUGAAGGACGUGCUAAUCUGCGAUAAGCGUCGGUAAGGUGAUAUGAACCGUUAUAACCGGCGAUUUCCGAAUGGGGAAACCCAGUGUGAUUCGUCACACUAUCAUUAACUGAAUCCAUAGGUUAAUGAGGCGAACCGGGGGAACUGAAACAUCUAAGUACCCCGAGGAAAAGAAAUCAACCGAGAUUCCCCCAGUAGCGGCGAGCGAACGGGGAGGAGCCCAGAGCCUGAAUCAGUGUGUGUGUUAGUGGAAGCGUCUGGAAAGGCGUGCGAUACAGGGUGACAGCCCCGUACACAAAAAUGCACAUACUGUGAGCUCGAUGAGUAGGGCGGGACACGUGGUAUCCUGUCUGAAUAUGGGGGGACCAUCCUCCAAGGCUAAAUACUCCUGACUGACCGAUAGUGAACCAGUACCGUGAGGGAAAGGCGAAAAGAACCCCGGCGAGGGGAGUGAAAAAGAACCUGAAACCGUGUACGUACAAGCAGUGGGAGCCUCUUAAUGGGGUGACUGCGUACCUUUUGUAUAAUGGGUCAGCGACUUAUAUUCUGUAGCAAGGUUAACCGAAUAGGGGAGCCGAAGGGAAACCGAGUCUUAACUGGGCGUUAAGUUGCAGGGUAUAGACCCGAAACCCGGUGAUCUAGCCAUGGGCAGGUUGAAGGUUGGGUAACACUAACUGGAGGACCGAACCGACUAAUGUUGAAAAAUUAGCGGAUGACUUGUGGCUGGGGGUGAAAGGCCAAUCAAACCGGGAGAUAGCUGGUUCUCCCCGAAAGCUAUUUAGGUAGCGCCUCGUGAAUUCAUCUCCGGGGGUAGAGCACUGUUUCGGCAAGGGGGUCAUCCCGACUUACCAACCCGAUGCAAACUGCGAAUACCGGAGAAUGUUAUCACGGGAGACACACGGCGGGUGCUAACGUCCGUCGUGAAGAGGGAAACAACCCAGACCGCCAGCUAAGGUCCCAAAGUCAUGGUUAAGUGGGAAACGAUGUGGGAAGGCCCAGACAGCCAGGAUGUUGGCUUAGAAGCAGCCAUCAUUUAAAGAAAGCGUAAUAGCUCACUGGUCGAGUCGGCCUGCGCGGAAGAUGUAACGGGGCUAAACCAUGCACCGAAGCUGCGGCAGCGACACUAUGUGUUGUUGGGUAGGGGAGCGUUCUGUAAGCCUGUGAAGGUGUACUGUGAGGUAUGCUGGAGGUAUCAGAAGUGCGAAUGCUGACAUAAGUAACGAUAAAGCGGGUGAAAAGCCCGCUCGCCGGAAGACCAAGGGUUCCUGUCCAACGUUAAUCGGGGCAGGGUGAGUCGACCCCUAAGGCGAGGCCGAAAGGCGUAGUCGAUGGGAAACAGGUUAAUAUUCCUGUACUUGGUGUUACUGCGAAGGGGGGACGGAGAAGGCUAUGUUGGCCGGGCGACGGUUGUCCCGGUUUAAGCGUGUAGGCUGGUUUUCCAGGCAAAUCCGGAAAAUCAAGGCUGAGGCGUGAUGACGAGGCACUACGGUGCUGAAGCAACAAAUGCCCUGCUUCCAGGAAAAGCCUCUAAGCAUCAGGUAACAUCAAAUCGUACCCCAAACCGACACAGGUGGUCAGGUAGAGAAUACCAAGGCGCUUGAGAGAACUCGGGUGAAGGAACUAGGCAAAAUGGUGCCGUAACUUCGGGAGAAGGCACGCUGAUAUGUAGGUGAAGUCCCUCGCGGAUGGAGCUGAAAUCAGUCGAAGAUACCAGCUGGCUGCAACUGUUUAUUAAAAACACAGCACUGUGCAAACACGAAAGUGGACGUAUACGGUGUGACGCCUGCCCGGUGCCGGAAGGUUAAUUGAUGGGGUUAGCGGUAACGCGAAGCUCUUGAUCGAAGCCCCGGUAAACGGCGGCCGUAACUAUAACGGUCCUAAGGUAGCGAAAUUCCUUGUCGGGUAAGUUCCGACCUGCACGAAUGGCGUAAUGAUGGCCAGGCUGUCUCCACCCGAGACUCAGUGAAAUUGAACUCGCUGUGAAGAUGCAGUGUACCCGCGGCAAGACGGAAAGACCCCGUGAACCUUUACUAUAGCUUGACACUGAACAUUGAGCCUUGAUGUGUAGGAUAGGUGGGAGGCUUUGAAGUGUGGACGCCAGUCUGCAUGGAGCCGGCCUUGAAAUACCACCCUUUAAUGUUUGAUGUUCUAACGUUGGCCCCUGACCGGGGUUGCGGACAGUGUCUGGUGGGUAGUUUGACUGGGGCGGUCUCCUCCUAAAGAGUAACGGAGGAGCACGAAGGUUGGCUAAUCCUGGUCGGACAUCAGGAGGUUAGUGCAAUGGCAUAAGCCAGCUUGACUGCGAGCGUGACGGCGCGAGCAGGUGCGAAAGCAGGUCAUAGUGAUCCGGUGGUUCUGAAUGGAAGGGCCAUCGCUCAACGGAUAAAAGGUACUCCGGGGAUAACAGGCUGAUACCGCCCAAGAGUUCAUAUCGACGGCGGUGUUUGGCACCUCGAUGUCGGCUCAUCACAUCCUGGGGCUGAAGUAGGUCCCAAGGGUAUGGCUGUUCGCCAUUUAAAGUGGUACGCGAGCUGGGUUUAGAACGUCGUGAGACAGUUCGGUCCCUAUCUGCCGUGGGCGCUGGAGAACUGAGGGGGGCUGCUCCUAGUACGAGAGGACCGGAGUGGACGCAUCACUGGUGUUCGGGUUGUCAUGCCAAUGGCACUGCCCGGUAGCUAAAUGCGGAAGAGAUAAGUGCUGAAAGCAUCUAAGCACGAAACUUGCCCCGAGAUGAGUUCUCCCUGACUCCUUGAGAGUCCUGAAGGAACGUUGAAGACGACGACGUUGAUAGGCCGGGUGUGUAAGCGCAGCGAUGCGUUGAGCUAACCGGUACUAAUGAACCGUGAGGCUUAACCUU
RNAcentral lists this ribosomal RNA (2874 nucleotides) under Escherichia coli. RNAcentral describes it as "partial 23S ribosomal RNA". It matches the Rfam family "Bacterial large subunit ribosomal RNA". Lineage: Bacteria; Pseudomonadati; Pseudomonadota; Gammaproteobacteria; Enterobacterales; Enterobacteriaceae. The record is from RNAcentral.